RNAcentral lists this ribosomal RNA (411 nucleotides) under Escherichia coli. RNAcentral's name for it is "partial 23S ribosomal RNA". It matches the Rfam family "Bacterial large subunit ribosomal RNA", at positions 418 to 831 of the family's 2925-position model. The record is from RNAcentral. Lineage: Bacteria; Pseudomonadati; Pseudomonadota; Gammaproteobacteria; Enterobacterales; Enterobacteriaceae.
CGGGACACGUGGUAUCCUGUCUGAAUAUGGGGGGACCAUCCUCCAAGGCUAAAUACUCCUGACUGACCGAUAGUGAACCAGUACCGUGAGGGAAAGGCGAAAAGAACCCCGGCGAGGGGAGUGAAAAAGAACCUGAAACCGUGUACGUACAAGCAGUGGGAGCACGCUUAGGCGUGUGACUGCGUACCUUUUGUAUAAUGGGUCAGCGACUUAUAUUCUGUAGCAAGGUUAACCGAAUAGGGGAGCCGAAGGGAAACCGAGUCUUAACUGGGCGUUAAGUUGCAGGGUAUAGACCCGAAACCCGGUGAUCUAGCCAUGGGCAGGUUGAAGGUUGGGUAACACUAACUGGAGGACCGAACCGACUAAUGUUGAAAAAUUAGCGGAUGACUUGUGGCUGGGGGUGAAAGGCCA